RNAcentral lists this long non-coding RNA (634 nucleotides) under Crocodylus porosus (Australian saltwater crocodile). RNAcentral describes it as "lncRNA (ENSCPRG00005007508.1)". Lineage: Eukaryota; Metazoa; Chordata; Crocodylia; Crocodylidae. The record is from RNAcentral.
AAAAGGUGACAGUCCAACUUUUAAGGACCUACAGAUUAAACCUUAUCUAUAAGAGUUUAGCUCAUUCAGGUAAAUUGGCUUAGGAAGUGGUUCCACUAAAAUAGUGAGAAUACUCUGGAUUUGAUUUGCUUCCUAUUGAUUCAGGUUAAACUGGUAAGGAUUUCAGUUAUAUUGCCAAGGUUUGUGUAGACAAAACAAGUCUUGUUUACCGGUGACCCAAGGGUUGGGAGGAUGUGUUGCUAAUUGUAGAUAUGUGUGUGCACACUGGUGUUGUUUAGAGGCUGAGAAGGAAGACGGGGUAAUAGCAGAUCAACAAGAGGGCAUAGGAACGUGUAAAAUGGAAUAGAGACUUACCUACUAGGAACUGGCUGUGUGCCUGUGUCUGGAAAGUGCUACAUGCCCAAUAGUCUACCAGAUGUUGUCCCAAUCAUAACAACAGAAUGAAAACAGAUUCUGAGAGAAAAAUCCCUGCUCUGUCCCCAGGCUUGACAUCACUAACUACAUUACUGUCUACCUGGCUUGUCUCUAGGGGUGCAGUGAUAACACUUUCAACAAGGGGGAAAUAAUGACUGUGGAAAGACCAUAUAAACUGCACAAUGCAAGAUUUGAGCAGCUCCACAAUUUUCCUGUGGCA